AAUACUAAAAGACUCGCCUCUGUCCGGCGCCAAAACCCCAGAAAUUUCUCCGGCCAAAUAUGCUCCACGUGCCGCCAGAGCCUUCGGUGCGUCAGCCCACGCGCUGGCGCGUGACAGCUUUUCCGGCCAGUUUUUCAGGUUGCUCCUUCAGGACAGUUUGGUCGGCUCAGAAUUCCGACCCUACCCAUCCUUUUUUCGUUCGAUUCCGACAACUUUGAAUUUUUUCCAGCGACUUUACUGACUUUUCCGGCACCUACAGUACUUUCCGGCCAGAAUUUCUUCAGGACAGUCUGCUCGCCCUUGAAUACCGAGCCUAUCCAUAUUUUUAUUUUUCAAUUCCGACAACUUUGAAUUUUUCCGGCAGCUACAAUAUUUUUUUUUUUCCGGCGAUACAGUGUUCCAGUAUUUUUUUCCCGGCGAUACAGAAAAUAUUUUUUCAGUUUUCUGUUUCAGUUUCAGCGAGUUUUCAGUUGAUAAUCCAAAGAUGUCUUUGGGACUAGAUGCUUUCGGGUCUAGAAACNNN
This 523-nucleotide long non-coding RNA is filed under the name Nicotiana benthamiana. RNAcentral's name for it is "long non-coding RNA (NBEN_LNC023327)". Lineage: Eukaryota; Viridiplantae; Streptophyta; Magnoliopsida; Solanales; Solanaceae. The record is from RNAcentral.